This 301-nucleotide ribosomal RNA is filed under the name uncultured bacterium. Its description in RNAcentral is "partial 16S ribosomal RNA". It matches the Rfam family "Bacterial small subunit ribosomal RNA", at positions 509 to 807 of the family's 1533-position model. The record is from RNAcentral.
CAGCAGCCGCGGUAAUACGUAGGGUGCAAGCGUUAAUCGGAAUUACUGGGCGUAAAGCGUGCGCAGGCGGUUUUGUAAGACAGAGGUGAAAUCCCCGGGCUCAACCUGGGAACUGCCUUUGUGACUGCAAGGCUAGAGUACGGCAGAGGGGGAUGGAAUUCCGCGUGUAGCAGUGAAAUGCGUAGAUAUGCGGAGGAACACCGAUGGCGAAGGCAAUCCCCUGGGCCUGUACUGACGCUCAUGCACGAAAGCGUGGGGAGCAAACAGGAUUAGAUACCCGUGUAGUCCCUGUCUCUUAUAC